AAACAAUCGCAUCACAAUCCAAUAAAGAAAAUCUUAUACCUUUGAAUAUCGUAGGAACAGAGGUACCAAAAUAGACCGUUCUUCGAGGUAAUUCCCAUAUCAAUUCCCUUGGGACAUUGAUUGGGUUUAGGCUGGAUGCAUGAUCCGCAAACACCUGUAUCAAU
This 164-nucleotide small RNA is filed under the name Arabidopsis thaliana (thale cress). Its description in RNAcentral is "ATSL120770". Lineage: Eukaryota; Viridiplantae; Streptophyta; Magnoliopsida; Brassicales; Brassicaceae. The record is from RNAcentral.